This is a long non-coding RNA of Coregonus clupeaformis (lake whitefish), 267 nucleotides long. RefSeq lists it as uncharacterized. Lineage: Eukaryota; Metazoa; Chordata; Actinopteri; Salmoniformes; Salmonidae. The transcript is spliced from 3 exons. The record is from RefSeq and is a predicted model, not a curated record.
GUUGUUUGAGAAGGACAUUGAGUAUCUGAAGACUGAGCUGAACCACAUCUCAGCCGCUGACACGUCCCCUAUCAGUCUCUAUGAGUACUUCCACAUCUCUCCCAUCAAGCUGCACCUGAGUUUCUCUUUGAGUUCUGGGGGAGAGGAUGGUAAUAAGGAGAAGAGGGAGACUGAGGUCAUCCCUGUCCAAUCCCUCAAUCUGCUGCUGAAGAGCAUCGGAGCAACCCUCACUGACGUGCAGGACGUCGUCUUCAAAUUGGCCUAUUU